GCACCCAUAGUUCAAUGGAUAGAACGUAUGCCUCCGGAGCAUGAAAUUCGAGUUCGAAUCUCGGUGGGUGCGCUA
This 75-nucleotide transfer RNA is filed under the name Chloroflexota bacterium. RNAcentral's name for it is "tRNA-Arg". It matches the Rfam family "tRNA". From Rfam's summary of the family: Transfer RNA (tRNA) molecules are approximately 80 nucleotides in length. Their secondary structure includes four short double-helical elements and three loops (D, anti-codon, and T loops). Lineage: Bacteria; Bacillati; Chloroflexota. The record is from RNAcentral.